RNAcentral lists this transfer RNA (69 nucleotides) under Villorita cyprinoides. Its description in RNAcentral is "tRNA-Ser". The record is from RNAcentral. Lineage: Eukaryota; Metazoa; Mollusca; Bivalvia; Venerida; Cyrenidae.
AAGGGAGUGCUGGGCGCGUUAAGACUUCUAAUCUUUAUCGUAGGAGGUUCAAUUCCUUUUACUCUCUUU